CAGCAAUAUAGUUGUAUACAUUAUGCCUGAAGGACAUCUAGGUGAGUAUCCCUUGCUUGGCUGGGAAGAAAAUUUAUGUUGUGUUCCUUCUGCAACUCACUGUGCUAAGAUUCUCUCAGUGACUGAGUUGUCAGAAGAGGCCCUAUUCUGUGUCACAACUAUGAGGUUCACCUGCAGGUAGGAGAAGACUUCUUCUUUUGUUCUAGCUCUUCUUUCCUUCAGGCUUCCCAGAGUUCACUGCACCUGAGGUGAGAGGCACCUGCAUUUGGAGUGUGCUGCUUUAGGUAAGUUCACAUUCCACCACUCAGUGGUCUUUUUUUCAAGACAUAUUUUUUAUUUGUAUUAGUCUCUCCUUUUCCCCAUUUUCUUUUCUGGUGAUCUCUUCACAGGUCUCUCCAGAGAGUUCCCAACCCUCAAAUGAAGCCAGCUCUUCCAGCAGAGUCCCAGAAGUCAUAGUAGUAAGAAAAGCUGUUUUGUUUUUGUUAUUUUAAAAAAAAUCAUUUUCUGUACAAUUGGUGGAAGGUGGCUGGGGACAAACUAGUGACUCUAGAUCGCAAAUCCAAAAAUGGAACCACAAGACACACUGUCACCCUCAGAUAGACAAACAAAAGGGUGAACAAUCUUCCUUCUUUCCACACCAAGCUUAAUGGCAGAGGUUUAAGUCUGAAUCUCAUCUCUCUGUUGUGCCCCUGUAGAUCAAUGGCUCAUCCAGCUUCAAACAAAAAUGGCGGGCAAAAUGGUUUUCCAUGAUUGAAGGACAUUUAGGUGAGUAUCCCCUGCUUGCCUAUGAAGAAAAUCUAUACUGUGUUCCGUCUACAACUCAUUGUGAUAAGACUCUUUCAGGUUGCGGUGACUGAGUUGUCAGAAGAGGCCCUAUUCUGCGUCACUACAAUGAGGCUCACCUGCAGGCAGGAAAACACUUCUUCUUUUGUUCUAGCUCUUCUUUCCUUCAGGCUUCCCAGAGUUCACUGCACCUGAGGUGAGAGGCACCUGCAUUUGGACUGGGAUAGAUAGAUAAUUUAUUACGGUCAAAGACCAGCUCGCAAAACACAAUAAAAACAGUGUUCAUAAAGAUAAAAUAUGCAAUCAGAACAGAUUGCAGCAAUAGCUCAUGAGUUAAAAUUGAGAUAUAUACAUACACCCAUACAACUGAGAUUUGGGCUACCAUAAAAAUUGACCCUGAGGCUCCCCAAAGGGUGACUUCAGCUUUUCCCUAGUAAGCUAUUUUAUUCUAGAGGAUGAUCUGUGCCUACAAAUCUAGGCACAAAAUCUGGCUACCAGCCAGGUUGUCUUAUGAUCUUUCCCUAAGAGGAGAGAAUUAAGUUUAGACUUGUCUGGAAGAUCAGCAAGCCUCUUCAGCAAAGGAUCAGUGGUGUCUCUACGAAUCUCAGCAUAAAAAGGACAUCUAAAAAAUAUAUGUUUGGGGCUUCCUAUUUCCCCUAGUGGGCAGGCGCAAAGUCUCUGUGCAUACGGGACUCUUCUAUAGGAGCCUUCCAGAACCGGUGAGGGCAAGGCCGAGCUUCUAGCAAGAGUGAAAGCCCUUCUUGCGUUUCUGGAUGUGAGGAAAUAGAGAUAUGUUGCUGGAGUGGCUACAUAUCUCCCAUUUUCUAUUAUUUUAUAAUUGGGGACCCUUGUACAGUCCUGUUGUCUCUCUAUGUCCAUGAUUCUUUGCCUAACCACAGAUCUAGCUUGGCCUAGGCCCGUAGUUAUGAGGGUUUGGGGAGCAAGGCCCAGUUUCUGAAGUGUUUAAAACUGCUGUCUGCCAGCCAGACUGAAACUGGUUGCUCAGAAUCAAUGGGGCUAUUCCUCGGGGGAGCAGUUUCAGAGUUAGCCACAUAUAUAUUGAAGUUAGACUAAUAUGAGCUUCAACUUUCAUCAUCCCUGUUUCUAGUCUGGCCCAUGCAUUUGAAAUGCAUCUAGGAACUUGUAGAACGGCUCUGAGGAGUUUGGAUUGCACUCGUUCAAGGGGAAUGAACGAGGAGGGAGGCGGGCCCAGAAAGGAUCCAUAAAGGAGCUGUGCUAACGUUUUGGCUUUAUAUCAUUUUAGUGCUUCCAACCCUCAAAUGAAGCCAGCUCUUCCAGCAGAGUCCCAGAAGCCAUGGUGGUAAGAAAAGCUGUCUCUCCACAGAGAGUGUUUCUCCCCCCAAGAGAACAUUUGCAGGUUUUGCUUUUCACCUUGUUGCAUUGCUCAAAAAAAAAGCCAAAGGCACUACUGGUUGGCACUCCUAGUUCCCAGGAUGCGGUUCAAGUCCCUGUGGUGCCCUUGCUAACUUCCAAUGCAACCAUCAUGCCCCUCUAUUUCCCCCUAUAUCCCUAACUUCCCAAAGUAUUAGCAUGGGUAGUGAUUUCAGUGAAUAAGCUUGGUUCUGAGCUCCACUGUGCUGCUUUUGGUUUGACUGGAAGAAGCCUCCUCAGUAGGAACAUCUUCACUGAUAGAUGGACAGCAGC
Molecule: long non-coding RNA, 2448 nt
Filed under: Podarcis lilfordi (Lilford's wall lizard)
Lineage: Eukaryota; Metazoa; Chordata; Lepidosauria; Squamata; Lacertidae
Source: RNAcentral